RNAcentral lists this long non-coding RNA (669 nucleotides) under Bemisia tabaci. RNAcentral's name for it is "lncRNA ENSASIAIIG006061". Lineage: Eukaryota; Metazoa; Arthropoda; Insecta; Hemiptera; Aleyrodidae. The record is from RNAcentral.
CGACGGGCUCCGGCGCACGCUGCCGCUGCAGCUCGCUUCAGCGCCGCAGCCGGCCGGACCGAAUUUCAGCCAGUAGCCCGUCGUGUCGUGGUCCAACCACUCGCGCCGCUUUUCCGUCGAGUCGCGGGUUUUUCGCGUGUUCAACCGUGCGCCAGGAUGUGAAGACGAGCAGCCGUCCUGUCCGCCGGCGCGCUCCAUCGGACUACACUCUUUUCAGCCAAGUUUCGGCGGGUUCCGGGCGGGCUUGAAUGCAGGAGGGCGAGUGGGAGAAUGCGGAGGUGCGCGAGGAGUGCGGAGCGGAGAGAUCGCGGCUGCGGUCGCGGAGCAAGGACAGGGACAAAGAGAAGGAGAGCGAGGAGCCGGCGGCGGAGGCCCUCGGCUGGGACAUCGACGCCGACCUGGAGCUCACCGGCGAGGGCGACGCCAAGCUCUCCCUCCAGAGGAUGCUCUCGGCCGGACACAACCAGCCCAGCCCGGCCGCCCUCCGCAGGCGCCUCCACCACCCCCCAAGACGCUCCGCCACCAUGACCUUCCAGCAAACGUGGCGGAGCAGCACAUCUGAUAUCGAAUCUCUCUCUCAAAGAAGCCCAUCAUCAUCAAGGUAAGAAAAUAAGGCUCAAUCAUCCAUUCGCCUUUUUUAAAAUCGUCUAAUGGUUAAUUUCUAUCGAG